AUAGUUUGAUCCUGGCUGAGAACUAACUCUGGCGGCCGGCCUACCACAUGCAAGUCGAGCGCUACCUUCCGGUGAAGCGGCGGACGGGUUAAUAACGCGUGCGGAUAUGCCCAUUUCAAAUGAAUACCCACUGGAAACCGUGAGUAAUACCUUAUACACCCUUCACGGGGAAAGAUUUAACAGAUUUGUAUUAUCCCGCGUUAAAUUAUAUAGUUGGUGGGGUAAUGGCCGACCAAGUCUACCAUCUGUAAUUGGUUUGAGAGGAUGAUCAGCAACACUGGGACUGAGACACGGCCCAAACUCCUACAGGAGGCAGCAGUGGGGAAUCUUAAACAAUGGGCGCAAGCCUGAUCUAGCCAUGCCGCGUGAGUGAUGAAUGCCCUAGGGUCGUAAAGCUCUUUCAACUGUGAGUAUAAUGACUGUAACACUAAAAAAAACCCCGGCUAACUCCCUGCCAGCAGCCCCGGUAAUACAGAUGGGGUAAGCGUUGUUCAGAAUUACUGGGCGUAACGCGUACAUAAGCUGAUUAAUAAAUUAUAGGUGAAAUCCCAGGGCUCAACCCUGCAACUGCCGUUAAGACUGUUACUCCUGAUAUCGAGAGAUGUGAGUGGAAUUCCCACUGUAAACGUGAAAUUCGUAUAUAUUUGGAGGAACACCAGUGGAGAACGCGGCUCACUGGCUCGAUACUGA
This 690-nucleotide ribosomal RNA is filed under the name uncultured bacterium. RNAcentral's name for it is "bacterial SSU rRNA". It matches the Rfam family "Bacterial small subunit ribosomal RNA", at positions 8 to 743 of the family's 1533-position model. The record is from RNAcentral.